Cucumis melo (muskmelon) is the source of this 773-nucleotide long non-coding RNA. RefSeq lists it as uncharacterized. The transcript has 2 exons. The record is from RefSeq and is a predicted model, not a curated record. NCBI's taxonomy places the organism in Eukaryota, Viridiplantae, Streptophyta, Magnoliopsida, Cucurbitales, Cucurbitaceae.
ACUAAAAUUUUGUUUCUUUUUCUUCUUAUUAUUUUUUUGCUUUUCCCAUUUUGAUUUAUGGUGUUUUGUAGGAGGAGGUUGCCAAGGAGUAUGGCAUACUAUUCUGGAGUUAGGCAAAAGGAGUAUGGCAUUCAUGUAAUUUGAGUUGUUUUGGAGAUAGGCAAAGAGGCCAAAUCACACGUAUUGUCCUAAUCAAUCGAUGACUCCACAAGAAGAAGCACAAUCUGAUGAUGAAAAGAAGAAAUGAAGUGAAUCACAAAAGAAUGCAUUCAAGGACUUUGCGAUAAGAAGCUGCUUAGCAAUCCAAAUCAUGAGGCCUUUUGGCGAUGAUUCGCAACAAGACAAAAGUGGUAGUUGAAGUUGAUGUGACAUGAAAUGAUUACUUUUUGCAUUGACAACUGCAUAAGAUAAGGGCAACAUGUAGCAGGGAAUGAUUAUUUUGUUGCCCAAAUAUGCCUAUAAAUAUCUCCAACUUCACCAUAUAAAAACUCUCUUUCGAGCGCAAAUAGAAGGGAAGUGUUAUAACCCUUCCCUUCCGUAGAAAUUCCCCACCUUCACCUCUUCUCCUAUCAACUUCUGAUUGAGGGCUUAGAGAGAUAAGCUCACAAACCAUUCCCCUAACUUAUAAAAGAGCCAAGGAAUGCAUAAUAAUGCAUUUUGCGGCUCGACAUCCUUCUUGACUUUCCAUUUUGUAUUUUUUAACGUAUUAUUUGACUGUUAUUAUUCUCAUAACCAAGAGGCCUACAUUAAUCAAUGCAAUGUAUAUUUAUUCA